This 301-nucleotide ribosomal RNA is filed under the name uncultured bacterium. RNAcentral describes it as "partial 16S ribosomal RNA". It matches the Rfam family "Bacterial small subunit ribosomal RNA", at positions 509 to 807 of the family's 1533-position model. The record is from RNAcentral.
CAGCAGCCACGGGAACACGAAGGGUGCAAGCGUUACUCGGAAUUACUGGGCGUAAAGCGCACGCAGGCGGUUUGUUAAGUCAGAUGUGAAAUCCCCGAGCUUAACUUGGGAACUGCAUUUGAAACUGGCAAGCUAGAGUCUUGUAGAGGGGGGUAGAAUUCCAGGUGUAGCAGUGAAAUGCGUAGAGAUGUGGAGGAACACCGAUGGCGAAGGCAGCCCCCUGGGCCAAUACUGACGCUCAUGCACGAAAGCGUGGGGAGCAAACAGGAUUAGAUACCCCGGUAGUCCCUGUCUCUUAUAC